GGACUUUUGGUAUAGCAUUGGAAAUGUAAAUGAGUUAAAUACCUAAUAAAAAAUGGAAAAAAAAAAAAAAAAAAAAAAGACUUGGAUAAUGAGUCUGAUGUCAUCAAGCGAGCUUUAUUAAAAUAAAUACUCUACCAUAUUUCCUUCCUAAGAGCAUUCUGAUUAAUUGCAUCAUAAAUACUUACCUGACACUCUUUUUCAUCAGUAGAGAUAGCAAAGAGACUUCAUUCAGCUAGUGACAUUGAAGGUACUGAGGGUGCUUCCCACAGUGUUCUGUUCUGACACCCACUCUGGUGUUUGCUAAUCUGUGAUCUGAAGACCUUUGUCUAACUUAGCCUAUUACAUCGAACUGCUCCGAGAGUAAUUAAAUACUAAUGCUUGUCCUUGUUUUGAGGCUGUAGCUACUUACAUAGUAAGAGAUUAAAUGUUGCCUCAAGGCUGUAGAAUUGGUUCCUAAUAUCUAGCUUUGUGUUUGACUUGCCAGCCACGGGUGCCAAUACUGGAGUUCCAUCUGUAUUUUCCUUCUGUAGCUCAUGAUAACAUUCAUAACCAAAGAGAACAUAAGAUCUGGAUGGUUUCUAUACGUCUAUGACUUUUAGGGAUGGGCACAUGGUUCAGAGGUUAAGAGCACUGGCUGCUCUUCUAGAGGAUACUGAGUUCAAUUCCCAGCACCAACAUAGCAGCUUACAGCCCUCUGUAUCUCCAGUCCCUGGGAACCUGAUACCCUCUUCUAGCCUCUUCAGGUACGGUAUCCAUGUAGUGCACAGCCACACACGUAGGAAAAGACCCAUAUACAUGAAAAUAAAGAAAUAAUAAAUAAAACAUAAAAAAGAAUUCCGUGACUUUUUAGUUGACUCACAGAGAUGGAUAUGCUGUUUAUUAUCCUUCUAUUCUUUAUUAGUUGACUGUACUAUAUUGAGUAUUUGGGCUAUUUUAUAAUUUACCAUGUCAAAAUAAUUAUUAAUAUGAAAUACUAAAUAUAAUAUGUCUCAAACUUUAAAUGUUUUAUGUCAUCACCUAAUAUUGAAAAUAUAUGAGUAAAACUAAUAAUGGUUAUUUUAGUUCUGUUGUUACCAUUUAGCAAAGGAAUUAUCAUCCAGGGAAUGUUGUAUUCAAGGUGUUAGACAAUGAUCCUCAACUAGGUCCUCUAGGUUACCAGAAUACAAAUCAUAGAUGAAAUAGAAAUGAAACAGAAGUAAUCUAAUGACUCUUCAGAGUUUAUUAAGUAUGUUUGUGUGUGUGUGCAGUGUGUGUGUGUGUGUGUGUGUAUACUCACAUUCAUGCAUAUAUAAUGUUACCAAACCUGGAGGUGAGCCAAGGGGACUGGAGAGGAUAUGCCCAUGAGAUAAAGAAGACAUGGCAUACAUUGGAGCCAGAAAGCUUAUUAUCAGAGAGUUGUUUAUAGGACAAAUCUUUUUUACAGGACAUAAAGAAGAUAAAAAGCUAUUUUAUGAUGGUUAAUUCUGCUUAUAUUACUGCAUUAUUUAAAACUCAAAGAAACUUUAAAUUUUUCUUAAUUUUCUAUUUUCCAUCUACAUUAAUUAGUUUUAGGGAGCCACAAUUAUUCAUUGCUCAUAGACAAGUAGAAUUGUUGAUAGACACUUUUACUUUAGCACUGUUUUAUAACUGAAAUAUAAAGAAAUUUGGAUUGCUUUAUGAGGACGUUUAAAUAUAAGAAAUAAUUUUUGUAUGCUUUGAUUGAAAGAAAGGCACUUCAUUCAUUCUAAGUUCUUUUUGUAAAGCUUCUGAUUACUACAAUUAGAUCCAUUCAGCUCAAACAUGUUUUGUUUUGUUCCCAGAAAGAGGAGCAGUCCACGGACCAUUGGCAUUUUAUUUGUCCAACUUCGUUUCAUAACCCUCUACAGGAGGUUAUGUAUUAGGAUUCCAAUGGGAUAGAACAGAGACACCAUAACAACUGAUGGCAUCUGACUUUAGACCCCACACCACUUACUCACCCACUGUUGAGACCAACUGUAGUGAAUGGCCCAUGACCUCUUGGCUAUGUCUGUUUUAGAGUCUUUCAUGAAGAAAGAUAGAAACAGUGUGCUCAUAUGGCAGGAACUCCCUUACAUGUAAUGAGAUAAAGGUUGGCUGUUAUAGCACUCUUUCUUCUUUGUUUCUAAUGUAAAGAAUGGUUAAGUUCCCAGUGACAAGGUGACCCGUGAAUAUCAUACAAAACUGAUACACAGGCACUGGUCUUGGGGAAGGUUCUUGCUCUAAUGUAUCACUGGCUUUCCCAACUGUUGGAACUUUUGUUCCCCUUUAUAGUUUUUAGAGACAGUACAUGCUAUUUGCUAAUUUCAUUUACUUUUUGUAAUGUAAGGUAUUCAUUAUUUUUAAAUUAAGUCUUAUCCUAGAGUGAAAGAUGCGUUUCUUUCUGUUAGUAUUCAGAACACUUUUCUUAAACUGAAACUCUACCCUACCACCCUAACCCUGCAAAUGAGAAUAGUCCAGAGGAAAUUUUUUCCAUCAAUUAUAGUUUUAAACUAGAUGAUUAUCAGCAUCCAUUUCAGGACCAUGCAGAAGUGUGGAGUGCCACAUGUGGGGAAAUAAAGGGCGGGGGAGAGCUCCAGACUGCUGCAAGCACUCUCUACACUGCCUGGGUGGGUGUCUGUCUGUGGGAAGCCAUGGAACCCUAGUACUCAGGGGUAGAGAGGGAGCAGUCUGGGGUCUCUGGGCCUCACAAAGGCCAGAGAUGACAGGGUCUCAGUCUCAGACAUUCCAGAUGCUGCAGUAUGUCAGGGAAGAACUGAGGACAAAGUGAGGACUCUAGGGGCCGCCCAGUCAACCCCCAGGGCCAAAGGGAGAAGGGAGCAGGGGGAGAAAGGGCACUGGGCAUUUCCCAUGCAGGUGAGAGUCUGGCUAGCUCAGGCUGCUAGCUCAGCAGUCAGCUUGGGUUGGCUGGAGCACAGGAAGGCCUCGCAGUUAGACAUGGCUCCUUAGAGGGAAGCCCGUUCCAUUGCUUCAACAUGGUGGGUCUUGAGUAGAGAUGGUCCAUGGUUUUGGAGCUUUAUUGUAGAAAGGCAGAG
RNAcentral lists this long non-coding RNA (3029 nucleotides) under Mus musculus (house mouse). RNAcentral describes it as "long non-coding RNA chr1:61677248-61680277". The record is from RNAcentral. Lineage: Eukaryota; Metazoa; Chordata; Mammalia; Rodentia; Muridae.